RNAcentral lists this long non-coding RNA (4752 nucleotides) under Homo sapiens (human). Its description in RNAcentral is "non-protein coding TUG1:76". The stretch from base 469 to 705 matches the Rfam family "Taurine upregulated gene 1 conserved region 3". Lineage: Eukaryota; Metazoa; Chordata; Mammalia; Primates; Hominidae. The record is from RNAcentral.
AACAUGAGAUGUCCAGGAUUGGAGGUUGAAAAGAUUUCACUACAGUGUUCUGCAAUAGUUGGAGCAGAUAACUUUCAGUGUAGCCACAGCCAUGGACUCCAGAUUUCCAGAUUUUCAAGACCUGGACCUGGAACCCGAAAGAGCUUGUCACGAUGCGGCAGGAACACUGGAGGUAGAUUUUUUUUUAUUUUUGAAUUUUGGGACUGUUGACCUUGCUGUGAGAAAAGAGACAACGACUGAGCAAGCACUACCACCAGCACUGUUACUGGGAAUUAGAAGACCUGAGUUUCUGUCCAGACCCUCAGUGCAAACUGAGGAUGCUCCAUCCAAAGUGAAUUAUGAUAGCAGACUCCUUGAAAGCAGGGUCCUUGUUUAGUGCAUCUUUGCCCACAUACACCACAACAUAUCAAGAUGCAUUUAUUAGGAAGGAGGAGUUUAGAGAGCAGGCUAUCAGAAUAACCACUCAUCCUGUGCCUCCUGAUUGCUGAGUGUUCACCUGGACCUUCUGACUACCUUCCCUGUGCUAUUCCAUCAGCCUACAGACCUGGUACCUGGAUUUUUGCCCGAGAUGAUUCCUACCACCUUACUACUGACGAAGACACCCAUUCCAGUGGACCACUGUGACCCAGGAGGCAUUCAGCCAUCAUGAUGUGGCCUUUACCUCCACUCCUGUCUUGUUCUACCCAGAUUCAGCACAGCCCUUUAUAGUGAAGUCAGAGUCCUCAAGCCAAAUAGCUAAAGCUGUUUUAUCACAACAAAGGCCUAGUUUGUUCCAUGAGUGUGCAUUUCAUUUCUUCAGUUAAAGCCUUCAGAGACACACAAUAAAUUUGGACCAGGGGAUUUUUUAGUUAUUAAUGCUCUCUGAAGAAAGGCAACAUCUUUUUGAGAGCAGCAUUGGACCACACCCCACAAUCUCAAAUGAUUGAAAUUCAUGAACAUCUAGGAUCCCGUGAAGGUCACUGGACCCUGUUUUUUCUACUUCAAAUCCUGUAGUAGCCUACUGAAUGAGAAAACAUAUUCUGACCCAUUGGGAUCAAAUCAAAGGCACAGUGAACUCCUCAUAGCAUCUUCUUUGGAAUUACUCAGGAACCAGAACUUUUUACACAAAUGUAAGAAAUUCUACCAAGGAGUCCCCUUACCUAACAGCAUCUCACAAGGCUGCACCAGAUUCCAGAAAAGGCUUCUCUUGAUACAUCAAGCAUUUUGUGACCGACUUAUUCUUAGAUCAUUGGUUUUCCAAAGGCUUUGUGGCCAUGAAGCCCUUUGAGUGAAAACUGUGCAGAAGCCCAGAGUAAAAGUGAAGCUGCUCUGGAUGAAGUAGUGAAGCAAGAGUAGGGGCCUGAAUCCUGCUACAACUAUCUUCCUUUACCACCGUGGUGACACCUAAGGGGACUUCCUUACAACACCUUGAACUCUUCCGAACACAGUUUGAAAACCACUGCCCCAGACAGCAAUAUGUUUGACCUGAAUGGCAUUCCAAUCUUUUCUGUACCUCCACUCAGCACAGUUCAUGUUCAGUAGAUGCUGAACAUUCUUAGAAAUACUGUGUGUGAACUUAGAAAAGUGCAAGAAGACAGGCAUGUCUUUGACCCCAGGAAUGAUCAUUUGCUGAAGAUGGUGUCAAGUGAACCUAGAUUAACAGCCCUCCACUCCAGAUGGAUAUCCAGUGAUUCCUAGAAUGGGAUAUAGCCAGAGAACAAUUCUAUGCACCCUACACUGACAGACUCCCUUAAGCAACACCAGAUGCUCUACUGGUACUUGAAGUACAUGACUUUGAAGUCUUGACCCUCCAUGAAUACCUGAAUUAUCAGCAAGCGGGUUUUGAAGCUGGUGCCUCAUUGAGGCCAUAUUAGAGCAACUUGUACAUUUGACCUCUUGUUAUCAGCCAUGGUACUCUACUUCGUGUGCAAGAGAUAACUAUGAAAGCCAAAUUCAAAUACUGGCAACAUUUCCUAAAGGGGCUCAAUAUCUAUCAUUCGUCUUCUUUUCCAAACUACACAUCACUGUAUGACUCAACCAGUAGCAGUUAUAUUGCCCCUUGGUUUUUAUUCAGUUUAACUACUGUUUCCAAGAUAAAUGAGCUAAUAAGCUUUAAAAAAAAAAAAAAAAAAGGCUGAAUUCUUUUUUCUUCAUCACUGGCAUAUCUGCCUAUUCUCCAGAAUUAUUAUGACUAUUCAGCUCACUUUAACAGUUGAACUUCAAGCGACAAUCUUUGAACACCCCUUCUCAUGUGAUUUAAAAUGAAACCAUUUGGAAAAGUUUCUUCUAGCCAGUAAUAGAUUUUUUUUUUAAUUGCUCUGCCUUGUGCCGAGAGAUGUUCUUUUAAGAUGAAUCUUUUGAUGUCUGAUACCACCAAAUAUAGGUGGUAGGGAGAGUUGGAGGCUGGCCCUUUGAGCAGGCCAUUAGCUUACUUGCUGGGCAUUUCCGAUAGCUUAUUGCCUACCUUUUUGCUGGAAACAAACUGAUUUGAAAAACAAAAUCUAUGAAGACUGCAGCUAAGGAUUUUAUCGGUAGACUUAAGAGCUUUUGUCCUUGUGGAUAUUUUAGUGGAACCACAUCAGUCUCAAUACUGUCAUUUUACACUGACUCAGAGCAGCUGACUUCAUUCCUUGCCAUGAUAUAUAUUUAAGGCAGGCAUUGUAACAGACAUAAAGACAACUUAUCUGUUUCAGCAGGAAGGAUUCAGUUUAUGAACUCUCAGACCAGAUCAUGUUGAACAAGGAGACUUUGAUGUGUGUCAUGAGAAAACUCAUUCUUUACUUCCCAGUCAAUUUAAAGGCCAGCUAUCCUGAGCUACUCGAAUGAAUGCACUGGUUAAACAUUGGAAAUAGUUUGUUUAUAUCCUUGUCUCUCUCUAGGCCAAUUGUGAUUACAUGACUCGACUCUACAUCUCGUCAAACAAGGCCUAGGUCUGGUUGCUGUAGACUGCUCGCCCUCAACAAAUAAAAUCUGGUUGACUAGCCUCCUUGUAUAUACAACUAUUAUUUGUUAAGAAGAAAUUAUCGUCAAUUUUCUACUACCUUCCAAUUGUCAGCUCUUUUUUUCCUCUCUGGUUUUUCCUAUACUUUACAGAAAAAGACAUUGAUCUAUACUGCCAUUCCCUCUAAUCCUGCCAUACUCAGUCAAAAGGAAUGACUUAAGAUGAAGAUGAUCAUCUGCUCGAGUCUAAAAUAUACAUUGUAUAUAAGAAUUGGUGAUUAGAAAAGCAAAAAACCUAAAACUUAAAUCUAGGAGUCUGUAUACUGUCUCCAUGUCUCCAUGCCUCAGAUCUCAUCUAAAUCUUUGAACAGCACCAUUCAACCAAUCUGAGGCCUUGACUUGCUUGUAAGAUGAUUCUCAGAGAUCGGCUGAGUUAAAAAAGAUGACGACUUGAUUACCAAAGAAAGUAGGGCCAACUUUGACAAAUCUGGCUCUGCUGACCCUGUCACUCCCAGAUGUAGCAUAGACUCCUAAACAGAACCUCAAGUCUGAUUGAGGAUAAGGCCUUCUCCUGAGCUGAAAGUUCUUUGGCAGAUGAGCAAGAAACUGAAAGCUGAUGUACCUGACUGGCUCUGUAAGAUCAGAAAACUGUAUCCAGAAUAAGCCCUAUGGAUUAACCCCUGAGUACCCAGAGUAAAAACUAAUUUACAGAACUUCCUUAUUGAUCUGCUGGUUCUUCCAGAUCAUAUUCUGGCUAUUGGUAUGGCUGGCCUUUCUGAAGGUACCCUGCUUGUCUAUUUUCCUGACUCAGCUCUUGCCUGCCUUUUUCACAUGUUGCUGCAAUUAGACUCACCGUGAGGACUACAGUCAAUUUCAGUCUAUCUUGUGCCCAAUACAACAAGGAUUUUUAAUAGUAACAACCCACACCUCACCCACUAGGACUCAAUGUUCACAACAGGAAGGACCAUUGCUGCAUACUCCUUGACCAGCAACUUUUUUGAAGAUAUUUUUAAGUGCAGAGUAGGCCUCUAUUCCUGUAUGUAAUUGUUCAUUUUCAGCACCUGGAACCUCAUCUAUCGGGUCUGGAAGGAAUACAGCAGUUCGAAAGCCGCGUCCAUUUCUCUCCUUCAGUAGUGCAGAAAUGAGUCCGAUUCACCAGUACACACAGAACUGUACCAGUUCAACCUAGCAAAAGAAGAAAAGUUUCCACUGUACUUAAAAUUUACAGCUGACUCAAAUUGCCUCACAGAAUUAUUUGAUGUAGAAGGCUAGUUGUCUUACUUCAGAUCAGCAGGACAGUUGGGCUCUCAGACUCAUGACCACUGAGUUUGCUUGUGUUGAAACUGUGGUUUCAUCCAACAUAUGCUAUUGGACAUGAUUAUUAUUCCAUUCAAAUGGAUUACAGACUUCUUGAGGACAGGACAAACUUAUCUCUCAUGGUGUUUUUUUAGAAUACUUUUAUAACCAAGGAAGAAACCAUGCCAGCUGUUACCAUUCAACUUCUUAAGCAGAGAUUAAGCUUUUUCAUAUCUGUUCUUAUCCUGGACAUCAGUAGUUUUUAAUUGCCCAGCAUCCGUUCCAUCUUGUAACAACUCCCUGAUGUUUCUUAAAACCACCUCUUCCUAUUUUCAGUCUGUGGUUUGGACAGUCUGACCCAACCUUGAGCUUUGUGGGUGAACAUGUAAUUCAGACCUCAUCAAUCAGCAAAUCCAUCUGAACUGUGGAGGAGAAGCUCUCUUUACUGAGGGUGCUUUAGCUUUGUAGGAUGAAAACCUCAAACUAACAGGGCCUACCAUGUAGAGAAUGAAGCCAGUGCAGGGGAAAGCAGAGCCA